AUUGAACGCUGGCGGCAGGCCUAACACAUGCAAGUCGAGCGGAUGAAGGGAGCUUGCUCCUGGAUUCAGCGGCGGACGGGUGAGUAAUGCCUAGGAAUCUGCCUGGUAGUGGGGGAUAACGUCCGGAAACGGGCGCUAAUACCGCAUACGUCCUGAGGGAGAAAGUGGGGGAUCUUCGGACCUCACGCUAUCAGAUGAGCCUAGGUCGGAUUAGCUAGUUGGUGGGGUAAAGGCCUACCAAGGCGACGAUCCGUAACUGGUCUGAGAGGAUGAUCAGUCACACUGGAACUGAGACACGGUCCAGACUCCUACGGGAGGCAGCAGUGGGGAAUAUUGGACAAUGGGCGAAAGCCUGAUCCAGCCAUGCCGCGUGUGUGAAGAAGGCCUUCGGAUUGUAAAGCACUUUAAGUUGGGAGGAGGGGCAGUAAGUUAAUACCUUGCUGUUUUGACGUUACCAACAGAAUAAGCACCGGCUAACUUCGUG
This 484-nucleotide ribosomal RNA is filed under the name uncultured bacterium. RNAcentral describes it as "partial 16S ribosomal RNA". It matches the Rfam family "Bacterial small subunit ribosomal RNA", at positions 30 to 507 of the family's 1533-position model. The record is from RNAcentral.